Molecule: long non-coding RNA, 1229 nt
Filed under: Lactuca sativa (garden lettuce)
Lineage: Eukaryota; Viridiplantae; Streptophyta; Magnoliopsida; Asterales; Asteraceae
Description: long non-coding RNA (LSAT_LNC000653)
Source: RNAcentral
GGGUGUGAAUAACCAUGCAAACUUACAUGGUGCCCUCACUUGUUACAGUCACCUAUUCGAUGUGCCGGUAAACCAUACACGCUCCACCGAACUAUGACAAACAUUGAGUCACCCUUUGCUACCUUUGCUUAGAACCAUUUAGUGUGCCGGUAAACCACACACGCUCCACUAACGUCUUCGCAAGGGCACAAAGUGUAAUUUCAUGGAAUUGCAUCAAUUCACUUUGCCUAAGUAACUAAGAUUGGGAAUUUGAAAAACAUUUAGUUACUUUAGAAAUUCAUUAUACUUAUAAUGGAAGGUUUCGUCCUAUCCUACCCGUUCGGCUAACGACCCUCCACUAGUCAAGAGUGCGGUGGGUAAGAGUGGAUACCCAUUCAAUCGCCAUUUUAUAGGCAAUUUCCUUAAACACCCCUUAUAGACCAGCUUCGUGAAUGAGGCCUACUAACGGUAAGAUUGACUUUUACUCAUACAUAUAUAUAAUGUUAGACUUUUAAUGUUAUAUAUAAUAUAGGGUGUAUUUUACACUUUGAAAAUACUAGGUGGUCAAAUUUAAUAAUUAUACCUUUAAUUCAAUUAAAUUGUAUACCUAAACUUUUUAUGGAUUUAUUAAACCUCUUUUAAUUAUACACCUUAAUUAAUUAAUAAAACCAUAAGGGUGUGAUUUGAACUUUUCAAAACAUUACUUAGAGUUUUAGAAUUUAACAUUCCUAAUUAAACUUUUAAUCAACUUUUAAAUUCCAAAACUUGAGGGCAAGUUUUGAAACAUUUCAACACAUUAGGGUUUAGAAUUUAAAUAUACAUCAAAAUUAAACUAUUAAUCAAAAUUUAAAUUCCAAAACUUGAGGGCAAGUUUUGAAACCUUUUUCAAAACAUUAGGGUUUCAACUAUUUAAAUUUCAAAACAACAUAACUUUUGGGUUCAAAUUUAAACUAUAAAACCUAAAGGGGAAAAUAUGAAACUUUUCAUAACAACAAGGAUAAAAUAACCAAUAAUCUUAAUUAACAUUUAAUCACAUAAUUAUCCAUAUUUGAUUUAUUUAAUGAUUUCUUGCAAAACAAUUUACCAAUUUAAUCAAAAUAAUUAAUCAAUUAUCACAUAAGGAAACAAAUAUUUUAUUAAUUGAUAAAUAUCUUUAAUUAGAUCAAGAAUAUAAUUAAAUAUAUCAUAAAAUCAGAUUUAUAUUGAUCUAAUAUGAUAAGGCAACUAUACUUAAGCAAAAACAGCAAGAA